GCUCCAAUAGCGUAUAUUAAAGUUGUUGCAGUUAAAAAGCUCGUAGUUGGAUUUGUGGUUGAGCUGUCCGGUCCGACACUUUUGUGUGGGUACUUGGACGGCUCGUCCAUCCUUGGGUGGAAUCUGUGUGGCAUUAGGUUGUCGUGCAGGGGAUGCCAUCUUUUACUGUGAAUUAAUUAGAGUGUUCAAAGCAGGCUUAU
This 200-nucleotide ribosomal RNA is filed under the name uncultured eukaryote. RNAcentral's name for it is "partial 18S ribosomal RNA". It matches the Rfam family "Eukaryotic small subunit ribosomal RNA", at positions 588 to 789 of the family's 1831-position model. The record is from RNAcentral.